GACGAACCGAGCGAACGUUAUUCGGAAUCACUGGGCUUAAAGGGCGCGUAGGCGGGCGGCCAAGUCAGGGGUGAAAGCCCCCAGCUCAACUGGGGAAGUGCCUCUGAUACUGGUCAUCUCGAGGGAGAUAGGGGCGUGCGGAACCUCCGGUGGAGCGGUGAAAUGCGUAGAUAUCGGAAGGAACACCGGUGGCGAAAGCGGCGCGCUGGAUCUCUUCUGACGCUGAGGCGCGAAAGCCAGGGGAGCGAACGGG
RNAcentral lists this ribosomal RNA (253 nucleotides) under uncultured bacterium. RNAcentral's name for it is "partial 16S ribosomal RNA". It matches the Rfam family "Bacterial small subunit ribosomal RNA", at positions 524 to 776 of the family's 1533-position model. The record is from RNAcentral.